GCCCGCUUGGCGGAAUUGGUAGACGCACGGGACUUAAAAUCCCGGGGCCGCAAGGCCGUGCCGGUUCGAGUCCGGCAGCGGGCACCA
Molecule: transfer RNA, 87 nt
Filed under: Rhodothalassium salexigens
Lineage: Bacteria; Pseudomonadati; Pseudomonadota; Alphaproteobacteria; Rhodothalassiales; Rhodothalassiaceae
Also listed under: 1 other name
Description: tRNA-Leu
Rfam family: tRNA
About the family: Transfer RNA (tRNA) molecules are approximately 80 nucleotides in length. Their secondary structure includes four short double-helical elements and three loops (D, anti-codon, and T loops).
Source: RNAcentral